RNAcentral lists this ribosomal RNA (777 nucleotides) under uncultured Neocallimastigales. Its description in RNAcentral is "partial large subunit ribosomal RNA". It matches the Rfam family "Eukaryotic large subunit ribosomal RNA", at positions 22 to 610 of the family's 3401-position model. Lineage: Eukaryota; Fungi; Neocallimastigomycota; Neocallimastigomycetes; Neocallimastigales. The record is from RNAcentral.
CAUAGCGACUAUCGUGGCAUAUCAAUAAGCGGAGGAAAAGAAACUAACAAGGAUUCCCCUAGUAACGGCGAGUGAAGCGGGAAGAGCUCAAAUUUGAAAUCUUAAAGGGUUUCCCUUUACGAAUUGUAGUUUAAAGAAGUGUUUUCUGUUGGAGUUUCGGUAAAAGUUCUUUGGAAUAGGACAUCAUAGAGGGUGAGAAUCCCGUAUUUGACCGUUACUUUCCAGCUGUGUGAUACACUUUCAAAGAGUCGGAUUGUUUGGGAAUGCAGUCCAAAAUGGGUGGUAAAUUUCAUCUAAAGCUAAAUAUUGGCGAGAGACCGAUAGCGAACAAGUACCGUGAGGGAAAGAUGAAAAGAACUUUGAAAAGAGAGUUAAACAGUACGUGAAAUUGUCAAAAGGGAAGCGUUUGACACCAGUGUUGUUUAGUUGAAAAUCAAUUCAAUAAUUUUUGAUUUUGAGUAGUAUUGACUUCAUCAGCUUGCUGCUUUCUUUUCCGAAAUUAUUGAAUGCACUUUUCAGUUAACAAGUCAACAUCAAUUUCUUUUGUUGUAAGAGGGUAAGAGGAAGGUGGCUUACGCUUCGGCGUAAGUGUUUAUAGCCUUUUACCUCUGCAAUCGGAGAGAUUGAGGACAGCAGCGUAGACUCCUUCGGGGGUUAGAUACACUUGUGCUAAGCUAUAGCCUUGUAUAGACAACUUGUUGACUAUGCUCAGUCAUGUAGCUUACUCGCUUGUGCUAUUUUACCUACGCUUAGGAUGUUGAUAGUCACAGCGUGUAC